ACGUGAUGGCGAGUAGAUAAAAGUAGAUAAAAGUAUCAACAAGUGAACGAACCAACGCAGAAGGCAAGCUAAGGAGAACCGGGAGCUUGGGGGAAAAGUCCAAAAAACCUCUAUUUAUUUCGGUCAGGUCUUAUGGACAGAGCGAGAACCACUCAGAAGAUCCCUUUCCAUUGAUGGCGAGCCUCCCAGUGUGAUCCUGACAGGAAGUAGAACCGACCCGUCACAUACUUCACCUGGAGGUGGAAAAGCUCACACUCCAAGAGUCAUAUUGAAGCAGCACAAGCGGAACAACACUGAGACGGUGAUAUUUUGCAAGAGGUGCACUGACGGGGCUGCGCAGAGGAGAGAGAGACAGAGAGAGAGAGAGAGAGAGAAACUGGAGAGGGCGCUCAUUAUGCUGCCUUGACCUCUGAGGUCAGGGACAGGAAGGAAGCCGGCGGACACAGCGCCAAACUG
This is an RNA transcript of Plectropomus leopardus (leopard coralgrouper), 456 nucleotides long. It is a transcript of the gene named protein FAM180A-like, with no coding region annotated. The record is from RefSeq and is a predicted model, not a curated record. Lineage: Eukaryota; Metazoa; Chordata; Actinopteri; Perciformes; Serranidae.